RNAcentral lists this ribosomal RNA (498 nucleotides) under uncultured bacterium. RNAcentral's name for it is "partial 16S ribosomal RNA". It matches the Rfam family "Bacterial small subunit ribosomal RNA", at positions 28 to 507 of the family's 1533-position model. The record is from RNAcentral.
GACGAACGCUGGCGGCGUGCCUAAUACAUGCAAGUCGAGCGGACGGAUGGGAGCUUGCUCCCAGACCGUCAGCGGCGGACGGGUGAGUAACACGUGGGCAACCUGCCUGUAAGACUGGGAUAACUCCGGGAAACCGGGGCUAAUACCGGAUAACUCUUUCCCUCACAUGAGGGAAAGCUGAAAGAUGGCAUCUCGCUAUCACUUACAGAUGGGCCCGCGGCGCAUUAGCUAGUUGGUGAGGUAACGGCUCACCAAGGCGACGAUGCGUAGCCGACCUGAGAGGGUGAUCGGCCACACUGGGACUGAGACACGGCCCAGACUCCUACGGGAGGCAGCAGUAGGGAAUCUUCCGCAAAGGACGAAAGUCUGACGGAGCAACGCCGCGUGAGUGAUGAAGGUUUUCGGAUCGUAAAACUCUGUUGUCAGGGAAGAACAAGUACCGGAGUAACUGCCGGUACCUUGACGGUACCUGACCAGAAAGCCACGGCUAACUACGUG